Molecule: ribosomal RNA, 253 nt
Filed under: uncultured bacterium
Lineage: Bacteria
Description: partial 16S ribosomal RNA
Rfam family: Bacterial small subunit ribosomal RNA
Source: RNAcentral
UACGGAGGGAGCUAGCGUUGUUCGGAUUUACUGGGCGUAAAGCGCACGUAGGCGGCGCCGUAAGUCAGGGGUGAAAUCCCGGAGCUCAACUCCGGAACUGCCCUUGAAACUGCAGUGCUAGAAUCCUGGAGAGGCGAGUGGAAUUCCUGGUGUAGCGGUGGAAUGCGCAGAUAUCAGGAGGAACACCAAUAGCGAAGGCAGCUCGCUGGGACGGUAUUGACGCUAAGGCGCGAAAGCGUGGGGAGCAAACAGG